GAAUGCUGAGUCUGAGUCGGAGGAAGAAUGACGGGCUCUCUUAUUUUAGUAGUUCAAAUCUCGAGUCUGAAGCCCUCAUGGUAAUUUGUGUCAUGAAUAAAAGAGUGUGCCCUUUGCUUUAGUGUCCUUGGUUUGGAGUUGAGUGGAACCUCUUAGGUGGUGCUAUUUAUCUUGAAAUCUGUGCCUUUUGUUUUAUUUUGGAGUUGAGGGGAACCUAUUUGAGUCUUUUGGUUGUUUUUCUUGCUUUCAUUUUCGUAUUGUUUGGCUUUGCUGUUAUUGAGCGUGGUCAUUUUAGGCUUCUUGGGUGAAUAACGUUGUUACCACCUAUCUGCUAGAAAUUCAGAUCAAUAAACGUUCCUCUA
RNAcentral lists this long non-coding RNA (362 nucleotides) under Populus trichocarpa (black cottonwood). RNAcentral's name for it is "long non-coding RNA (PTRI_LNC001217)". Lineage: Eukaryota; Viridiplantae; Streptophyta; Magnoliopsida; Malpighiales; Salicaceae. The record is from RNAcentral.